Molecule: ribosomal RNA, 467 nt
Filed under: uncultured archaeon
Lineage: Archaea
Description: bacterial SSU rRNA
Rfam family: Archaeal small subunit ribosomal RNA
Source: RNAcentral
CUCCCGUUGAUCCUGCCGGACCUGACUGCUAUCGGAUUGGUACUAAGCCAUGUGAGUCAUUGUAGCAAUACAAGGCAUACGGCUCAGUAACACGUAGUCAAUCUAACCUAUGGACGUGGAUAACCUCGGGAAACUGAGAAUAAUCCGCGAUAGAUCAUAAUUCCUGGAAUGGUUUAUGGUCCAAAUGAUUCGUCGCCAUAGGAUGGGACUGCGGCCUAUCAGCUUGUUGGUGAGGUAAUGGCUCACCAAGGCUAUUACAGGUACGGGCUCUGAGAGGAGAAGCCCGGAGAUGGGUACUGAGACACGGACCCAGGCCCUAUGGGGCGCAGCAGGCGAGAAACCUUUGCAAUGUGCGCAAGCACGACAAGGUUAAUCCGAGUGUUUCCUGCUAAAGGAAUCUUUUGUUAGUUCUAAAACCACUGAUGAAUAAGAGGUGGGCAAGUUCUGGUGCCAGCAGCCGCGGUAAU